GGUGGAACAAGGACAUGUGGUGUCGUGAGGGAGACUUUGAUUUGUGUAAACGCUGCCUGAUGCUCGUCAGUCCACGCAAACGUAUCUGAGUCCUUAAGUUUCAAAAGCGUCGAGAACGCUUUCAUUUUUCCUGCCGAGUUAGCUAUAAAUCGGCGGAGAAAAUUUAUCUUGCCGAGUAAGGACUGCAGUUGUUUCUUCAU
This 200-nucleotide long non-coding RNA is filed under the name Malus domestica (apple). Its description in RNAcentral is "long non-coding RNA (MDOM_LNC002751)". Lineage: Eukaryota; Viridiplantae; Streptophyta; Magnoliopsida; Rosales; Rosaceae. The record is from RNAcentral.